GCUUCGACUUUAUCUUUUUGGAUCCUGGAAAUUUCCACCGAGCUCUUUCCUCCUGUGGGCGGAGCUGAUGGAGAGCACAUAAAUCAUCUGAAACUGAAACUAUCCUUUAAACAGAGAGUCUGAAGAUCAGCAUCAAGGAAGAACAGGUCGACCGAGGACUAUGGCCGAGAACCUGCGUCAUAGAUGUAACGAUGCGGCUCAAUCUUAUAUUAACCAGAGAAACUCACAUGACUGGACCGCAUGCGGUAAGCUAUAUAAACAGGCCACAGAUCAUAUGAGAAAUUAUGUUCUAAACAUGUUCUCUCAU
Puntigrus tetrazona (Sumatra barb) is the source of this 307-nucleotide long non-coding RNA. RefSeq lists it as uncharacterized. The record is from RefSeq and is a predicted model, not a curated record. The transcript is spliced from 3 exons. NCBI's taxonomy places the organism in Eukaryota, Metazoa, Chordata, Actinopteri, Cypriniformes, Cyprinidae.